RNAcentral lists this ribosomal RNA (261 nucleotides) under uncultured bacterium. RNAcentral describes it as "partial 16S ribosomal RNA". It matches the Rfam family "Bacterial small subunit ribosomal RNA", at positions 100 to 353 of the family's 1533-position model. The record is from RNAcentral.
GGACGGGUGAGUAACACGUAGGCAACCUGCCUGUAAGACAAGGGAUAACUACCGGAAACGGUAGCUAAGACCGGAUAACUAACCGGAUCGCAUGAUGCGGUUAUGAAACACGGCGCAAGCUGUGGCUUACAGAUGGGCCUGCGGCGCAUUAGCUAGUUGGUGGGGUAAAGGCCUACCAAGGCGACGAUCUGUAGCGGGUCUGAGAGGAUGAUCCGCCACACUGGGACUGAGACACGGCCCAGACUCCUACGGGAGGCAGCA